This 524-nucleotide ribosomal RNA is filed under the name Eudaniela sp. R723-5. RNAcentral's name for it is "partial 16S ribosomal RNA". It matches the Rfam family "Bacterial large subunit ribosomal RNA", at positions 1855 to 2627 of the family's 2925-position model. The record is from RNAcentral. Lineage: Eukaryota; Metazoa; Arthropoda; Malacostraca; Decapoda; Pseudothelphusidae.
CUACCUGCCAGUGAGAUAUUUAACGGCCGCGGUAUUUAUAACCGUGCAAAGGUAGCAUAAUCAUUAGUUUUUUAAUUGAAGGCUUGUAUGAAAGGUUUAACAAGAGAAAUACUGUCUCUUUAAUAGAAAUUGAAUUUAACUUUUAAGUGAAAAGGCUUAAAUGAUUCAGAGGGACGAUAAGACCCUAUAAAGUUUUAUAGGAGAUAAUUUUUUACUGAUAUUUUAAAAGUUAGGAUUUAUAUUUUAUUAAGUUGGGGCAACUAAGAUAUAAUUUUAUUAUUAAUUGUUUAUAAGUAAAACAAAUAUAUUUGAAUAAAAAUUAAAUGAUCCUUUAGUUAUUUAAAGAUUAGAAGAUUAAGUUACUUUAGGGAUAACAGCGUUAUUUUUUUUGAGAGUUCUUAUCGAAAAAAUAGUUUGCGACCUCGAUGUUGAAUUAAAAGUUCCUGUAUAGUGCAGUUAUUAUAUAAGAAGGUCUGUUCGACCUUUAAUUUUUUACAUGAUUUGAGUUCAGACCGGCGUAAGCC